RNAcentral lists this long non-coding RNA (742 nucleotides) under Fragaria vesca (wild strawberry). RNAcentral's name for it is "long non-coding RNA (FVES_LNC001275)". The record is from RNAcentral. Lineage: Eukaryota; Viridiplantae; Streptophyta; Magnoliopsida; Rosales; Rosaceae.
CUUCUUUGUAGUUUUUGUCUUUUAGCUCUUCAAAAAAAGAAGAAGAAGAAGAUGAUUUAUACCCGGUAGAGCAAAUCCUUUUCUAGCAGGUUUGGUACCAUCUUUGAUCCUCGCUGGAGUGUUGUACCGGUACCGUUCUCGACGUCGGUUCGCUCAAAGCACAACGUAUCUCGUGUCUUAUGCCAGGCCGCGGAUUGUACGUUAGCUUGUGACAACCUCUUUCCUUUAGAUCCUUGAUUGUGGCUUCUAGAGACAAGGAGAUGCUGCUCUGUCCUCCUGCAUUAGGAUGGCGCCAAGAGUCGAUCGGUUCCAUCCAAUCUGGGCAUAUUUGAAGCAGAUAUCAUUAAUUGGAGAGUGGGCUUUUGGCCAUGAGGUUGUGGGAGGAGAUCGAGUGAUAGUCUUCAGCCCAGCCUUCUGGGAUGUUCGUAUAUCGAUGGGAGUGGCGCUUUAAUUACUUAAAUUCAAACUCAUAAAGUACAAAUUGUAGUAAGGGUAGUGUUAGAGGGCCUUAAUAAGGCCUAAGAUUUAUGGCCUUAAUCCUAUGUGGCAUGUCAUGUCACUAGACACAUAAUCAAUUUAAUAAAUCAUGUCAUUUUAUUCUUAGGUAAAAAUACAAUCUUAACCUUAAUAAUUAAUAAAUGCUAUAUACUAAUAUGACAUAUUUUCUUACCCUUAUACCAAAUUUAAUUAAUUUAUUAAUAAUAAUGACCAAGUUAAUAAUCAUACCAAAUUAGGUUUUUAU